This 564-nucleotide ribosomal RNA is filed under the name uncultured Glomeromycotina. RNAcentral's name for it is "SSU rRNA". It matches the Rfam family "Eukaryotic small subunit ribosomal RNA", at positions 548 to 1114 of the family's 1831-position model. The record is from RNAcentral. Lineage: Eukaryota; Fungi; Glomeromycota.
UUGGAGGGCAAGUCUGGUGCCAGCAGCCGCGGUAAUUCCAGCUCCAAUAGCGUAUAUUAAAGUUGUUGCAGUUAAAAAGCUCGUAGUUGAACUUCGGGAUCAAUUAGUUGGUCAUGCCUUGGUAUGUACUGAUUUUAUUGGUUCUCACCUUCUAAAGAACUAUAAUGUCAUUUAUUUGAUGUUAUAGGGAAUUAGGACUGUUACCUUGAAAAAAUUAGAGUGUUUAAAGCAGGCUCACGCUUGAAUACAUUAGCAUGGAAUAAUGAAAUAGGACAUCGCAUUCUAUUUUGUUGGUUUCUAGGAUCGAUGUAAUGAUUAAUAGGGAUAGUUGGGGGCAUUAGUAUUCAAUUGUCAGAGGUGAAAUUCUUGGAUUUAUUGAAGACUAACUACUGCGAAAGCAUCUGCCAAGGAUGUUUUCAUUAAUCAAGAACGAAAGUUAGGGGAUCGAAGACGAUCAGAUACCGUCGUAGUCUUAACCAUAAACUAUGCCGACUAGGGAUCGGAUGAUGUUGAUUUUUUAAUGACUCAUUCGGCACCUUACGGGAAACCAAAGUGUUUGGGUUC